Molecule: ribosomal RNA, 503 nt
Filed under: uncultured Desulfobulbus sp.
Lineage: Bacteria; Pseudomonadati; Thermodesulfobacteriota; Desulfobulbia; Desulfobulbales; Desulfobulbaceae
Description: bacterial SSU rRNA
Rfam family: Bacterial small subunit ribosomal RNA
Source: RNAcentral
GCCAGCCCGCUCAGAAACUCAAAGGAAUUGACGGGGCCCGCACAAGCGGUGGAGUAUGUGGUUAAUUCGAUGCAACGCGAAGAACCUUACCUGGUCUUGACAUCCCGGAGACCCUUAGGAAACUAGGGGGUGCUUCCAUCUGGAAGAAUCUGGAGACAGGUGCUGCAUGGCUGUCGUCAGCUCGUGUCGUGAGAUGUUGGGUUAAGUCCCGCAACGAGCGCAACCCUUGCCUUUAGUUGCCAGCAGUUCGGCUGGGCACUCUAAAGGGACUGCCGGUGUUAAACCGGAGGAAGGUGGGGAUGACGUCAAGUCCUCAUGGCCUUUAUGACCAGGGCUACACACGUACUACAAUGGCCGAUACAAAGGGCAGCGACACUGCGAGGUGAAGCCAAUCCCGUAAAAUCGGUCUCAGUCCGGAUUGGAGUCUGCAACUCGACUCCAUGAAGUUGGAAUCGCUAGUAAUCGUGGAUCAGCAUGCCACGGUGAAUACGUUCCCGGGCCUU